CACAUGCAAGUCGAACGCCCCGCAAGGGGAGUGGCAGACGGGUGAGGAACACGUGGGAACGUACCCUUUGGUUCGGAACAACCCUGGGAAACUAGGGCUAAUACCGGAUACGAGCGAGAGCUGAGAGGUUUACCGCCGAAGGAUCGGCCCGCGUCUGAUUAGCUAGUUGGUGAGGUAAUGGCUCACCAAGGCGACGAUCAGUAGCUGGUCUGAGAGGAUGAUCAGCCACAUUGGGACUGAGACACGGCCCAAACUCCUACGGGAGGCAGCAGUGGGGAAUAUUGGACAAUGGGCGCAAGCCUGAUCCAGCCAUGCCGCGUGAGUGAUGACGGCCCUAGGGUUGUAAAGCUCUUUUACCCGGGAAGAUAAUGACGGUACCGGGAGAAUAAGCCCCGGCUAACUUCGUGCCAGCAGCCGCGGUAAUACGAAGGGGGCUAGCGUUGUUCGGAUUUACUGGGCGUAAAGCGCACGUAGGCGGACGCUUAAGUCAGGGGUGAAAUCCCGAGGCUCAACCUCGGAACUGCCUUUGAUACUGGGUGUCUUGAGUCCGGAAGAGGUGAGUGGAACUGCGAGUGUAGAGGUGAAAUUCGUA
This 592-nucleotide ribosomal RNA is filed under the name uncultured bacterium. Its description in RNAcentral is "bacterial SSU rRNA". It matches the Rfam family "Bacterial small subunit ribosomal RNA", at positions 52 to 692 of the family's 1533-position model. The record is from RNAcentral.